UGGUUAUUAAAGCAAGACUAUGGACUGAUAAUUAAAAGCAUAUAUUUUCCUUAAAGCAAACUAGAAAAGAACAUACCAAAGCUGUUCUUAACCAAACAUAAACAAUUUAAUAUAUAUACUUGUUUUGUUACAAGGAAGAUAAAAGUUAAAACUAUUUCCCUAUUUAUACAACUGCAAAAAAACAGAUGCAAAAAUGUUUUCUUCUGCAUCUCAAAUCUGGACAAAGAGUAAAGCUGCUGGGGCUGACUUUAUCUGUUCAAUCUGCUCUUUAAGAUUUUGCAAAUCCAACAAGUUGAUAAACUUUAAUUUCUUCAGAACCCUGAAAUAGGAAUUAAGAUCUACAGACCUGAAACUUAAAAAAGUCAUAAUAAACAAAUCAAAUAUUAAUAGAUUUGGCAAAUCAAACAAGGAAUGAAGUUAUACAGUAGCUACAAAUAUAUUCCAUAUUUUUUCUUCAUAUCCCAUAAAUAGAAAAGAAGAUCAGAUCUAAAGACCUGGAUAUAAAAAUCAGAUAUUAGAUCGCUACUAAUAAACAUAAAAGAAAUUAAAAACAAGAAGAAUACAAAUCUGGUCAAAUGAAUGUAGAGCUCCCUUCAAUCCAAAAAGGGAUCCAACUUAGGGUAAUGAAGCUCCUGACAUAUGCAACCCACAAACCUAUCCAAUCAAAUAAUAGAUAGGACUGAGGAAUCCAUAGGUCAGCAGCUUAAUCUUACCUGUUAGAUCCUCUGUUGGACUUCAAGGAGCUCCACUCUCAAAACCCUAAAAACAUUCUUAUAUCACAUAAACAGACAAAAAAAGUCAAACCUAAAUCCUGUCCUAAAACUGCCCAAAAACUGUAUCCAACUUCCAUCUCAUAACAACCCUAGACACAAACCUCACAUAUCAACAAAAGAAAAAAGAUCAAAACCCAGAAAACCACAAGGUUUCUUGAAUCGAUCUACAUAUAUAUACAGAUGUAUGAUACAAGAAGAAAAAAAAGACUGAGAAAAGAUAACCUAGUUGGGAAAAAAAGGGAGGAAAAAAAGACAAGGAAAGCAAUUUAGAAACAACUCAAAACAGCUAAUAAGAUGAAA
This 1073-nucleotide long non-coding RNA is filed under the name Nicotiana tabacum (common tobacco). RNAcentral's name for it is "long non-coding RNA (NTAB_LNC009385)". Lineage: Eukaryota; Viridiplantae; Streptophyta; Magnoliopsida; Solanales; Solanaceae. The record is from RNAcentral.